Molecule: ribosomal RNA, 416 nt
Filed under: Malassezia restricta
Lineage: Eukaryota; Fungi; Basidiomycota; Malasseziomycetes; Malasseziales; Malasseziaceae
Description: eukaryotic LSU rRNA
Rfam family: Eukaryotic large subunit ribosomal RNA
Source: RNAcentral
UCGAGACGUGUUUUCCGUGCGGCUCUAUGGACAAGUCCCUUGGAACAGGGCAUCGUAGAGGGUGAAAAUCCCGUACUUGCCAUGGAAGUACCGUGCUUUGUGAUACACGCUCCAAGUAGUCGAGUAGUUUGGGAUUGCUGCUCAAAGUGGGUGGUAGACUCCAUCUAAAGCUAAAUAUCGGGGAGAGACCGAUAGCGAACAAGUACCGUGAGGGAAAGAUGAAAAGCACUUUGGAAAGAGAGUUAAAAGUACGUGAAAUUGUCGAAAGGGAAGCACUUGAAGUCAGCCAUGCUGCUUGAGACUCAGCCUGGCUUUUGCUUGGUGUAUUUCUCGGUAGCAAGCCAGCAUUGGUUUGUGUCGUCGGAGAAGCGUAUGGGAAGGUGUGGCAUCCUCGGAUGUGUUAUAGCCCUGUGCAG